AGAGUUUGAUCCUGGCUCAGGACGAACGCUGGCGGCGUGCCUAAUACAUGCAAGUAGAACGCUGAAGAGAGGAGCUUGCUCUUCUUGGAUGAGUUGCGAACGGGUGAGUAACGCGUAGGUAACCUGCCUUGUAGCGGGGGAUAACUAUUGGAAACGAUAGCUAAUACCGCAUAACAAUGGAUGACACAUGUCAUUUAUUUGAAAGGGGCAAUUGCUCCACUACAAGAUGGACCUGCGUUGUAUUAGCUAGUAGGUGAGGUAAUGGCUCACCUAGGCGACGAUACAUAGCCGACCUGAGAGGGUGAUCGGCCACACUGGGACUGAGACACGGCCCAGACUCCUACGGGAGGCAGCAGUAGGGAAUCUUCGGCAAUGGGGGCAACCCUGACCGAGCAACGCCGCGUGAGUGAAGAAGGUUUUCGGAUCGUAAAGCUCUGUUGUAAGUCAAGAACGGGUGUGAGAGUGGAAAGUUCACACUGUGACGGUAGCUUACCAGAAAGGGACGGCUAACUACGUGCCAGCAGCCGCGGUAAUACGUAGGUCCCGAGCGUUGUCCGGAUUUAUUGGGCGUAAAGCGAGCGCAGGCGGUUUGAUAAGUCUGAAGUUAAAGGCUGUGGCUCAACCAUAGUUCGCUUUGGAAACUGUCAAACUUGAGUGCAGAAGGGGAGAGUGGAAUUCCAUGUGUAGCGGUGAAAUGCGUAGAUAUAUGGAGGAACACCGGUGGCGAAAGCGGCUCUCUGGUCUGUAACUGACGCUGAGGCUCGAAAGCGUGGGGAGCGAACAGGAUUAGAUACCCUGGUAGUCCACGCCGUAAACGAUGAGUGCUAGGUGUUGGAUCCUUUCCGGGAUUCAGUGCCGCAGCUAACGCAUUAAGCACUCCGCCUGGGGAGUACGACCGCAAGGUUGAAACUCAAAGGAAUUGACGGGGGCCCGCACAAGCGGUGGAGCAUGUGGUUUAAUUCGAAGCAACGCGAAGAACCUUACCAGGUCUUGACAUCCCGAUGCUAUUUCUAGAGAUAGAAAGUUACUUCGGUACAUCGGUGACAGGUGGUGCAUGGUUGUCGUCAGCUCGUGUCGUGAGAUGUUGGGUUAAGUCCCGCAACGAGCGCAACCCUUAUUGUUAGUUGCCAUCAUUCAGUUGGGCACUCUAGCGAGACUGCCGGUAAUAAACCGGAGGAAGGUGGGGAUGACGUCAAAUCAUCAUGCCCCUUAUGACCUGGGCUACACACGUGCUACAAUGGUUGGUACAACGAGUUGCGAGUCGGUGACGGCGAGCUAAUCUCUUAAAGCCAAUCUCAGUUCGGAUUGUAGGCUGCAACUCGCCUACAUGAAGUCGGAAUCGCUAGUAAUCGCGGAUCAGCACGCCGCGGUGAAUACGUUCCCGGGCCUUGUACACACCGCCCGUCACACCACGAGAGUUUGUAACACCCGAAGUCGGUGAGGUAACCUUUUGGAGCCAGCCGCCUAAGGUGGGACAGAUGAUUGGGGUGAAGUCGUAACAAGGUA
RNAcentral lists this ribosomal RNA (1506 nucleotides) under metagenome. RNAcentral describes it as "bacterial SSU rRNA". It matches the Rfam family "Bacterial small subunit ribosomal RNA". The record is from RNAcentral.